This 410-nucleotide long non-coding RNA is filed under the name Sorghum bicolor (sorghum). RNAcentral's name for it is "long non-coding RNA (SBIC_LNC015078)". Lineage: Eukaryota; Viridiplantae; Streptophyta; Magnoliopsida; Poales; Poaceae. The record is from RNAcentral.
CCACCUUCUUUUUUCUAUCUUUCUCAUGUUCACUUGAUGUCUAGACCUAUAGGCUCGCGUGUUUAGCUUGUUGCUUAAAUGAGAUCCGAUCUCUUUUCUCUUUCUCUCCUCUCUUCCACAUUAACAUUUACUUUACUAUAAGGCUAAGUUUUAAUUAAUGGCAGUUCUAGUGAUAUUUAAUAAGCUGCUGUAAAAGUGUUUUUUAAUAAUAUAUAUUAAUAUUUUAAGAAGAGAGAAGAAUUGAUUUUCGUCAAGAUGGAACUAUUGGCAUGACUGCCACAUCUAGAUUCACAAAAACUGUAGGUGGGUCCACAUUGCUGCUUUUCUUCUCUGUAUUCUUUACUGCCAUAGAGGGUACAGAUUAAUCAAAUUAUAGCAUACGGGCCCGCAUAUUCUUAAAGUUGAACCAU